Molecule: ribosomal RNA, 301 nt
Filed under: uncultured bacterium
Lineage: Bacteria
Description: partial 16S ribosomal RNA
Rfam family: Bacterial small subunit ribosomal RNA
Source: RNAcentral
CAGCCGCCACGGGAAUACGAAGGGGGCUAGCGUUGUUCGGACUUACUGGGCGUAAAGCGCACGUAGGCGGACUUUUAAGUCAGGGGUGAAAUCCCGGGGCUCAACCCCGGAACUGCCUUUGAUACUGGGAGUCUUGAGUUCGAGAGAGGUGAGUGGAAUUGCGAGUGUAGAGGUGAAAUUCGUAGAUAUUCGCAGGAACACCAGUGGCGAAGGCGGCUCACUGGCUCGAUACUGACGCUGAGGUGCGAAAGCGUGGGGAGCAAACAGGAUUAGAUACCCGAGUAGUCCCUGUCUCUUAUAC